Molecule: ribosomal RNA, 497 nt
Filed under: uncultured bacterium
Lineage: Bacteria
Description: partial 16S ribosomal RNA
Rfam family: Bacterial small subunit ribosomal RNA
Source: RNAcentral
GAUGAACGCUGGCGGCGUGCCUAAUACAUGCAAGUCGAGCGAACAGACGCUGAGCUUGCUCCUCUGACGUUAGCGGCGGACGGGUGAGUAACACGUGGAUAACCUCCCUAUCAUACUGGGAUAACUUCGGGAAACCGGAUCUAAUACCGGAUAAUAUAUUGAACCGCAUGGUGCAAUAGUGAAAGACGGUUUUGCUGUCACGUAUAGAUGGAUCCGCGCCGCAUUAGCUAGUUGGUAAGGUAACGGCUUACCAAGGCGACGAUGCGUAGCCGACCUGAGGGGGUGAUCGGCCACACUGGAACUGAGACACGGUCCAGAGUCCUACGGGAGGGAGCAGUAGGGAAUCUUCCGCAAUGGGCGAAAGCCUUACGGAGCAACGCGGCGUGAGUGAUGAAGGUCUUCGGAUCGUAAAACUCGGUUAUUAGGGAAGAACAAAUGUGUAAGGAACUAUGCACGUACUGACGGUACCGAAUCAGAAAGCCACGGCUAACUACGUG